UUUGCUUUCAUCUUAUACAAUGUAGGAUUAUAUCCUUAACACAUCGAGUACAGUAAUUCGAAAUAUUUCACUUAGGCAAUAAGCAUUUGUCACUUAUAGCAAGACAUUGACCUAGGAAAAAGGGAAUGAUCGAGGCAACUAAGUCAGAGACUACCUGCUUCACUUCGUAGCAUUAAGGGGAUUAUGCAUUUAGAUUAGGGAAAUCUACUAGGAAUGCAAUGUCUUCCCGU
Molecule: long non-coding RNA, 230 nt
Filed under: Olea europaea (common olive)
Lineage: Eukaryota; Viridiplantae; Streptophyta; Magnoliopsida; Lamiales; Oleaceae
Description: long non-coding RNA (OEUR_LNC015237)
Source: RNAcentral